CCGUCGCGUUCAGGAAUGUAUGUCUCAUCUAUUCUAUUAAUAUUCAUAUGAUUAUCCCGCGCUUGGAUUAUUUAUGGCUAUCUUUUCACGGAUCAUCAUAACUAAUCGAUCUAUCAUAUCUAAUAUCGGACACUAAUAAACCCCCCCUCAAUAUGUAAAAUAUUGUGUACAGGUUUUAACUAUGGUCUUUGAUAGUACUUAUUGUGUGUCCGUAGAAAGCUCUUCAAUAUAUUUUAUUAAUGUGUAAUUUAAAUUCUUUGACCCUCCUCCCUAUUAGAAAGCUGGGAAAACGAUAUUAAUCACGGUAUAUUUCUAGUCGCAAAAACAAUAAUAUACUUAUUACUGGAGCGAGAAUCAAAUUCGAUACAGGUAUUUGCAAUUAUUACCACAAAUUAAGAUAUAUGAGAUACGAAAAGACAACUUGUCAGUCGAUGACAAAAUUUUCUCGAACGGCCAAAUUAUGGCCGAAUCGUGGUUAAAUUGGGUACUAAUACUGACGAUGGUUUGUUUUGUCCUAAAAAAUAAUAUAAUAUGCAUAAUAAACGAAAUGUGUGAAAUGAUUAAAUAAAUAAAUCAUUUACUUCUUAGUUCUGCCGUUGCUAAUUUUUUGAAAGUUAGGUAUGGAAAUGUGUUAAAACCUGUUUACAAACAAUGAACUUUAUGUUUGAUUAGUAAAAUCUAGUAAUCAACGUACUUAUUUUUAACAAUGUAGGUUACUAAUGAUAUAAAUAAAAAUAGCUGAUACUGGAGACCUGUGUGCCACUGUUGUAGGUGGAAAGUUGGGAAAGUAGGAUACAUAAAGUUAUUUAAUUAAUAUCUAUUAGCAACGAUAAAUUAUUGUUCACAAAAAACGAUUUUGUGCGAAGUUUAGCUACACAUAUUUUGAAAGGCGUAAAUAUCACAUUUACGAUUUUCGUAAACAUUUGAUAAUUAAAUUCUUAUAAAAAAAAAUUCUACAUUACACUAAAUUUUAUUUUUUUAACCUCAAAGUUUGACUUAUGAUAAACUUCCUUUUCAAUUUUAAAACAUUUCUGUUCGGUCUAACAAUUUUAUCGAUAGAUUA
Non-coding RNA from Cinara cedri, 1063 nucleotides. Lineage: Eukaryota; Metazoa; Arthropoda; Insecta; Hemiptera; Aphididae. The record is from the annotation of a GenBank genome assembly.